This 229-nucleotide ribosomal RNA is filed under the name uncultured bacterium. Its description in RNAcentral is "partial 16S ribosomal RNA". It matches the Rfam family "Bacterial small subunit ribosomal RNA", at positions 118 to 347 of the family's 1533-position model. The record is from RNAcentral.
UGAGUAACCUGCCCCAGACUCUGGGAUAAGCACUGGAAACGGUGUCUAAUACCGGAUACGAGCUUCAGCCGCAUGGCUAGGAGCUGGAAAGAAUUUCGGUCUGGGAUGGACUCGCGGCCUAUCAGCUAGUUGGUGUGGGUAAUGGCCCACCAAGGCGACGACGAGUAGCUGGUCUGAGAGGACGACCAGCCACACUGGAACUGAGAUACGGUCCAGACCUCUACGGGAG